RNAcentral lists this long non-coding RNA (1214 nucleotides) under Heterocephalus glaber (naked mole-rat). RNAcentral describes it as "lncRNA (ENSHGLG00000042563.1)". The record is from RNAcentral. Lineage: Eukaryota; Metazoa; Chordata; Mammalia; Rodentia; Bathyergidae.
CCAAUUAUCUGCUUAACUCCAAGUCAGUGAAUUCCCCAGUGCUUCCGAGACAAACAAUAGAUAGUAUAAAGACUUUUGGCAGUUGACAGUUCCAUUUGGCUAGGGUUUGUAGCAAAUCCUUCUUAAAACUAAAGCUAUAUUUUUACAAAAUAAAAGCAACUAGCUGAGUUAAUUUCAAGCAGUCACUCAAGAUGUUUGCUUGAUGCAUUAGAAAACCAACUUUUGAAGGAUGUUUGAAUUCUCAUCCCUUUGGACACUACAUGGACACAUGCUCAGAAGAAGAAGUAAAGAGUGACAAGUUUCCAUUCAGCAAUGGAUUUGCUUUCAGAUGGUGAAAAUAGAUGUUUUCUGUUUUGUUUUCCUUUGUUUUUAAAUGUGAGCCUCACUGAUUAUAAAAGUAAUUUAUUUUGGUUAGCUCCAGUUGUCUGUCAUUCUUUUUCUAUGAAAUGUAUGAUAGUGGGGAUUCAGAAAAUAUAUUUCAAGCUGCAGUACAGUUCCCUGAUGCCUCAGUAGCCUAGCAUAGACUUUAUGGAUACCUGAGUUCUAAGUAGCUCCAGAGUAGGAAUGCUAUUCCUAUUAUUUUAUGUUUCCUUGAUGCUAUCUUACCUGCUUGCUGACUGUGGAGAACACUUUUUAAAUUUAUUUUAAUUUCAAAAAAUAAAAACUGGAUCUGUAAGUAUUUUUCAUUGGUCUUUUGUUAGCAAAACAGGUGUCACAGGCUGCCUGCCAUCAUUUGUGGGAGUUAAUGUAGAAAACAUAGGAAGCAUUCUAUAAUUCUCUAAAGCUAAGUGCUCCAUAGAGAAUGAGCAUUCCUUUAAAGAGAUGACAGAAAUAUUCAUCUCAGGGAUCAGGAACAAUUUAACCCAGUUUGGUGAGAGAAACUCCACGAUUGGUACAAUCUUGCUCUGCUCAUCUAAGCUAACACUUGGCCUCUGGUUUUAUUGUCUUAGAUUCAUGACGCCUGGUUUUUAAAACUUUUUGGUUUAAUCUAAUUAUUAGAUACAGUUCUGAGUGUUUUGUUAAGUUUCACUUCAUAGUGUAAUGGAAAAAGUAUCUGGCUCGGAAUUUAGGAUCCCAGGGCCAUCCGUUGAUGGUUGUGCAAUCUCAGAUGUUAUUCAUUAGGUUUGAGUAAGGCUCUUGUGGAAUUUGCAUGAACUCAUGCAGUAAAAGUGUAGUCUAUAAAGAAGACGUGAACCAUUUGUCCAUGCAGCACC